AGCACUUAUUGAAUAAAUAUGGAACAUAGCUCGUAACACCUUUUUUUUUCUGUGAUAUAUCUUUCUUCCUUUCCAUUGGGAAAUUUAAGAACAAAUACUCUUGCAAAAUGGAAGGCUUCAUUUGAAAUUUCCAGUGAAACUUGAGUCAUCUUAGACUGCAUGAAAAUGUGCCUUCGAUUUGGAUUGUGUCAGGAAUGAUAUGAUUCCCUCUACUUACGGUAAGAUGCAAAUUAUGUUUCUCCAUUUAUAUGAGUAAAUUCUAUCAUUUCUUUGAGAUAUAAAAUUAUAAACUAUGUAUCAAUAUUAUUUUGGACAUUUCAUAUUUAUAGGAAAUGCAAUGAUGGCAGUAUGCGGUGCUAUAAAUUUCAUAUUUUAACUCUUAAUUGUUUUGUGUACUGAAUUUCAUAUUCAGAUUCAAGUGAUGAUUCAAUAUGAUGACACUGUUGUUAAAACGAAAUUUAUCUUUUUUUGGCCAAGUAGACUGGGUAUUGACAUUUAAAUUAUGUUGCCUAAUCCUAUAUUAACUUAGGCGAGAAAUAAUAGUUUUAAACUAUGGAAAGAAAUGUAAUACUAAUUAAUAAUAGUAUUUAUUUGAUGUCUUUCUUCCCCCGAUGCUAUAAAUAUGACAUAGAAAUUUUAUGAAAGAGACAUAAUGAGAAGGAGAAAAAUGACAAAGAAACGGAGAGAAUAAGGCGAUACAUCUAAUUAAGUGGGACAAUGUCACAUUGAACAAGAAAUUAGCAGCCUUAGAAAUAACUAGAUGAAGGAAAAAAAUAAUUUUCUCAUGAAGUGGUUAUGAAAAUAUAAUGUGGAAGUAAAGGUAAUUUUAAAAAGGGUGAUUACAAAAGUGUGGGUUCAAAAAGGUGAAUGGUACAUGUACAACUUUACAAGGCCAUAUGAAAAUGAAAUUUCGAAAACAUAUAAGAGGGAUGUGGAUUCUAAGGAAGAAAAAUAGCAUUGGGGCAUGACACGACAACUGAAGAAGUCACAUACUUUUGCUUUGUAACCGGUAUUUAAUGGGUAUUGUAUAAAAUUACUUCAUAUCAAACAAAGAAAUCUUCUUUUAA
Long non-coding RNA from Solanum lycopersicum (tomato), 1067 nucleotides. RefSeq lists it as uncharacterized. The record is from RefSeq and is a predicted model, not a curated record. Lineage: Eukaryota; Viridiplantae; Streptophyta; Magnoliopsida; Solanales; Solanaceae.